GUGCUAAUGUGGGCGCUUGACCUUCAGCCUAUGUUCACUGAUCCUUUCUCUGUCUAAGGUAUGGUAAGGCUAAGAGGUCCUCUGAAAUGGUGAGAUGCCACUUGGAGGGAGAUGUGUUGGCCUCCUGGCUGGGGAAUGUGUAUGCGGAACACAAGGCGUACACGUGUAUUCUUCCGC
This is a long non-coding RNA of Electrophorus electricus (electric eel), 177 nucleotides long. RefSeq lists it as uncharacterized. Lineage: Eukaryota; Metazoa; Chordata; Actinopteri; Gymnotiformes; Gymnotidae. The record is from RefSeq and is a predicted model, not a curated record.